AUGCCAUUUCCUACUUUUCUCUCUUCCAAAACCCUUGAAAAUAUUAUACAAUGCAGGUUACUGCUAGUAGAUAUUUUUCUUACUAAAAUUUUAAUGGCAUCUUCUACUACUUAAUUUCUUUUAAGAAAAGGCUUUGUUUAUCGCAAUUCUUUCAAAUUUGGCCAUAGUUAGGAAAGUGAUCCAAAUAAAUGACUUUUGAGUUCAAGAUUAUAAGACAACUCGUAGACAUAAAGUGCACCUCUCUGAUCUCAUCUCCAUCUUUUAACUCUAAACUUCGUUUAAGUCUUUCCAAAGUCAACCAGAAGUUUAACCUUAUUUAGCGACACCAUCUGGUCUACCUACAUCGUCCAUUAAAUUGUUUUUUUUUCCUGCCAUUGUUUGCUUGGCUUAGAAGAAUGGCCGACCAUGCAUUUUGCAUGUGCACCUGGUCGCUCUCUCUCUCUCUACACUCUGAACAUCUAUGCACGUAUUGAUACAGUACACCUUUGGUUGUAUGUUUUUGGAGAGGUGGAGGCCGGCCGAUGCUUUCCUAGCAUGCCCGACCCUGCUCCCUCUUUCCCUCUCCAUCUUGCUGCAGCGUCUGUCCCAUCCUAGCCUAUACCUGUACAUCACAUGCACUGAUGAAUACCCUCUGGACACUCUCCUUUCUUCUCUUCAUCUGCCUAACCAAUCGUUACAUACUCAGGAGCACCCCGACCGGACAUGGAUGGCACGAUGCUGCAUGCGCCCUUCCCUCUCUCUUGCCCUCCGACUUGUAAGACCAGCCGGUGACCGUCGAACCCUCUCCACACAUUACUCCACCUCCCUGACACCCUCUGCAUCUCGCUCGCGCUGACACGCCAUGGCCACCACUCUCUCUCUUUUCUUCUCCCUGGCGGACACCAAACAAGGGACAACAGAGAAAUGACCCGUGCUGGCUCCCAUGGCUGCGCCACGGAGACGUCAUGUCUCUUCUCUCGCUGACCUGAAUGCUCCCGAGGCAUCCCUUGCCCCACAGCCCCUCGCCCGUGCUUGCCAAGAUCCUGGUCACCACGGCUGCGGACGCCCCGGCGUUCCCGCUCAUAGCCUCCUCUCUUGUCACUUCCUUCACCCUAAGCCUGCAAGGCACGCCACCGCGACCCCACCUAGUGCCCCAGCACCCUCCUUCUUGCUAUCGUUCGUUGUACAACGCUAUCGAACACCAACGACGUGGCUCGGGCAACUUUCAGUCCAUUCCAUUUGGGCCCGCGAUUUUCCUCUCCCUUGGUCGCACUGAGCUCAGAUCACUGCGCCGCACAUCUCUGCACCGUUUUUCCGACCAAUGUGAGCUCGUGGGGAAACCCCAAGUCUAGGAACCGGCCGUAGACCGUGCACGCCUCCAGACCGCUUUUAACUCGACCCCGGCGCAUCCCAGCCUUGCUCCUGAUCCACACCACUCCCUUUUCACCAGAAUACCUCCAGGGCGUAGCCCUCUCCGCUCUCGGCCAUGGUCACGGCCGAGCUGAGCUCGCCGCCGUGUGCGUCGUUGUCAUCGUCCUGUCGCUCGUCGUGGACGAGGCCGCUGCACCCGCAUCUACACCCUCUGUAUGCCUCGUUCUUCUCUCCCGAGUCCAGCAAGCCCUGACUACCCUCUAUUGCCCUGCAGCUCGCUUGUGUUGCGCCGCCGUCGGGGUCUACGUCUCCGUCACUGUGGCCAUCGCGCCGUUCGGGUCGUCCACAACAAGCUCGCAUGCAUGCAUGCGUAGCCGAGGGAAGCUGCCCCAGCCGAGCGUCCCUAGCCUCCCCUGCUGCUCCGCGCCGUCGCCGUCACCUUCCAGCAAGCCCCGCGAUGAGCGCCGACCGCCUCCAUCGUCGGCCUCGUCCGAGCGGGUGUCAGCGACGCCACGCUCCCUCGCCGGUGCCGCCAUCUCCGGACCGGCAGGAUCGCCUUCGCCAGGCCCCUGCGUCGCCCUGCGCUCCGCCGCACCUGCUCGCGUCGUCGUCCUCGCCUGCAAGCCACCCCCGGUGACCUCCCUCUCUCUUUCCGUCGUGGCCAUCGCGGCGGCGCCACUUCUCCCUGGGCGCAGACGUCUCCCGACGGAGAUGCGUGCAUGCAUGCACGUCCACGCGAGCGGGGCACGGCCAGCUGGGCCAAGCUGGGUCGCCCGCCUGCUGGCUAGCUCACGCACGCAUGCACGCAGCUGGGCCAAAAUGCGAACGCUAUCGGAGAAGGAGAGGAUCUUGGUGAGGAUUUCGAAGAAGAAGAAAGAGCUGAUGAUUCAUGAAGAUGAAGUCCAGGGACAUAUAGCCAACAAAGGCAAGCCACCUCUUGAUGCAUCUCUGAUCCUACAUAUAUCUUGUUCUUGCAUUAUUCUAGGUUUUAUAAAGUGCAUGUCUUUCAUUUAUUAUGUCGGUGGUUAGCGCCACCGGAAUUUUAUUAAUCCACCCUUAGGGUGCAGCCCUUGUUGGAACCUACUGAUCCCAAUCUUAAUAGUGAUAUGGUGCUUAUCACCUUAUCAUCCUUGUCGCCGAUUUUCAAGAAAAGAUGGACUAUAGGUUGGGAGCCCUUGUGGAAGAGUUUUUUUUGGAAAAAUGUUUCCGAGAAAGAUGUUUUUGGAAAACCUUGGAAUGGGGUAGCCCUGCCCAAGUGUGGUUUAUAAAAAGGCAAAAGUUUCUAAAAAGAAGAUUUGCUGGAGGUAAGCGGAGGAAAGAAAAUAUUUUCGAAAACUUUAGCGCCUAAGUACUCACCCGGACUGAAAGACAGUGCAACCACAUUACCCCAAAGUGGGCACGUGGCGUAGCGUAGUAGUUUGUCUCGCCUUAGUUUGGGUCCUGCAAAUGUAAGGGGUAGUCCGAGCAUGGACACCUAUCGACCGUGGCCUUCCCGACGAACUGGGAACGCCUUUCCGUCUCGGACAGAUGGCAGGGGUACAACCUAUGAGCUCCCAUUGAAUAAUGCCCCGCAGUUGGUCGCGGCAUUCCGGAGGGUCGAGCUGGUCGGGGAAUUUGCUACUCCUGGGUAAACGACCCCUCGGACUCUGGUGUUGGGAGGUACAACUCUAGGCGGCAUGUCUUAGGCUAUGGCGAGCAAGCGAAAAACUACGAUCGGUUAUCCGAGCCUCGCGUUUUGACGCUUGGUGAACCAGGGAUGUUCCCGGCGGAUUUAUCGGAUCUUGUGGGGAAAGUGUACAACCUCUGCAGAGUGAAAACUAUUCGAAUAGCCGUGUCCGCGGUUAUGGACGGUCGGGAAGGUUGUUGCUUAGCCUGAAGAGUUUUUGUUUUACAAAAGUGUUUUCUCAAAUAUUGUUUUGGGAAAGUGAUGCCAGUGGGACUGGUGGAAAGUGUACCUGGGAGGUACGGUGGAAAGCUGAAAUGUUUUGUGUUGGCCAUAUGAGAUGGCCGGGAAAGAAAUUGGGUCACCCUUACCUAUUAGUCUGCAAAUAAAAUGGUUUACAGAAAAGUUUUUCAACAACGAUAUGAAGAUGUCAUACUCUCGAGGGGAACCACCUCUCGCUCCUUGUCGCCCUAGUGUAGUGCUUAUUUCUUGCUAUUGCCAAAUUGCAUAUCCUUUACUUCUCUCUAAGGUGGUUUGCGAGUACAAUUCAUAAUGUACUCAUGGCUUUGUCCCUGGCUAUUUACUUGGCCAGACUUGGUGGAAUCCGACAGAUGAAGAAGGAGUCAACGACGUCUAUGCGAGCUAGGAACGUUCUCCCAGUCAGUUGCAUGUAGGGUUAUGGCAUGACUUGGGCCAUGCGAAUGCUUUCUUCUGAAGUAUUUCCGCUGUGUGAUUGUUGAUAUCAUGCCAUUGCGGCUCUUAUGUAAGUAUUGGUUAUGUGA
Lolium perenne is the source of this 3795-nucleotide long non-coding RNA. RefSeq lists it as uncharacterized. The record is from RefSeq and is a predicted model, not a curated record. NCBI's taxonomy places the organism in Eukaryota, Viridiplantae, Streptophyta, Magnoliopsida, Poales, Poaceae.